Molecule: long non-coding RNA, 512 nt
Organism: Erpetoichthys calabaricus (reedfish)
Lineage: Eukaryota; Metazoa; Chordata; Cladistia; Polypteriformes; Polypteridae
Exons: 3
Source: RefSeq, a predicted model, not a curated record
UUCAGAUUGACUACAGUGGUGCAUGAUAUUACCUUUUUUCUUUUCAGUUUAGUUCCUUAUGUUGGAGUAAUGUGUCUAAAUUGUAAUACCAAAUAAUCUGUGAUGUUUUUGUUCCGUCAAUUUUAAUUGAAUUUCAUGGUAGUUUUGUGCAGAUGAUGCCUGCCAUUUCUAAAUAGUUAAAGACUUUCCUGCAAUGGGCAGUGCGCCACUUAAUUGUAUGUGACUCAGACUGACAGUUGCGAUGUUCAAAGAGCCUUUUCAAUUUAAUUACAACUGACAUUUAUAUCUUUUUCCUUUCAGCCAGCUUGCUACAAGAAUAUCUUCUGGAAAUUGGAUGUUGAUGAAAAAUCAGAACAUCCCUGCUGGUUCAGUAGACUGUGGAAUAGACAUGUUGAUGGUAUUUGAAUAUUAACUGCUGUUGUAUCUGAAAAGGUGUCAUCCAAAUGGUUUAAAAAUGAUGAAGAUCCUAAAGGUCACCGGGUAAUGACCUCUAUACAAUAGAAGAUGAGGAG